RNAcentral lists this ribosomal RNA (253 nucleotides) under uncultured bacterium. RNAcentral's name for it is "partial 16S ribosomal RNA". It matches the Rfam family "Bacterial small subunit ribosomal RNA", at positions 524 to 776 of the family's 1533-position model. The record is from RNAcentral.
UACAGAGGGUGCGAGCGUUAAUCGGAAUUACUGGGCGUAAAGCGUGUGCAGGCGGUCUGUUAAGACAGGUGUGAAAUCCCCGGGCUUAACCUGGGAAUGGCGCUUGUUACUGGCAGACUAGAGUGCGUCAGAGGGGGGUGGAAUUCCACGUGUAGCAGUGAAAUGCGUAGAGAUGUGGAGGAACACCAAUGGCGAAAGCAGGUACCUGGACUAGUACUGACACUCAGCUGCGAAAGCUAGGGGAGCAAACAGG